GGCUCAGAACGAACGCUGGCGGCGCGCCUAAUACAUGCAAGUCGAGCGAGAAGGUGUAGCAAUACACUUGUAAAGCGGCGAACGGGUGAGGAAUGCAUGGGUAACCUACCCUAGAGUGGGGAAUAACUAGCCGAAAGGUUAGCUAAUACCGCGUACGCCUCCCGGACUUCGGUUCGGGAGGGAAAGCGAUACCGUGGGUAUCGCGCUCCUGGAUGGGCUCAUGACCUAUCAGCUUGUUGGUGAGGUAACGGCUCACCAAGGCUUCGACGGGUAGCUGGUCUGAGAGGACGAUCAGCCACACUGGCACUGCGACACGGGCCAGACUCCUACGGGAGGCAGCAGUAAGGAAUAUUGCGCAAUGGGCGAAAGCCUGACGCAGCGACGCCGCGUGGGGGAUGAAGGUCUUCGGAUUGUAAACCCCUUUCGGGAGGGAAGAUGGGACGAGCAAUCGUUCGGACGGUACCUCCAGAAGCAGCCACGGCCAACUUCGUGCCAGCAGCCGCGGUAAUACGAAGGUGGCAAGCGUUGUUCGGAUUUACUGGGCGUACAGGGAGCGUAGGCGGUUAGGUAAGCCCUCCGUGAAAUCUCCAGGCUUAACCUGGAAAGUGCAGAGGGGACUGCUUGGCUAGAGGAUGGGAGAGGAGCGCGGAAUUCCCGGUGUAGCGGUGAAAUGCGUAGAGA
RNAcentral lists this ribosomal RNA (681 nucleotides) under uncultured nitrite-oxidizing bacterium. RNAcentral describes it as "bacterial SSU rRNA". It matches the Rfam family "Bacterial small subunit ribosomal RNA", at positions 21 to 696 of the family's 1533-position model. The record is from RNAcentral.